AUGGGAGCUUGCUCCCUGAUGUUAGCGGCGGACGGGUGAGUAACACGUGGGUAACCUGCCUGUAAGACUGGGAUAACUCCGGGAAACCGGGGCUAAUACCGGAUGGUUGUUUGAACCGCAUGGUUCAAACAUAAAAGGUGGCUUCGGCUACCACUUACAGAUGGACCCGCGGCGCAUUAGCUAGUUGGUGAGGUAACGGCUCACCAAGGCAACGAUGCGUAGCCGACCUGAGAGGGUGAUCGGCCACACUGGGACUGAGACACGGCCCAGACUCCUACGGGAGGCAGCAGUAGGGAAUCUUCCGCAAUGGACGAAAGUCUGACGGAGCAACGCCGCGUGAGUGAUGAAGGUUUUCGGAUCGUAAAGCUCUGUUGUUAGGGAAGAACAAGUACCGUUCGAAUAGGGCGGUACCUUGACGGUACCUAACCAGAAAGCCACGGCUAACUACGUGCCAGCAGCCGCGGUAAUACGUAGGUGGCAAGCGUUGUCCGGAAUUAUUGGGCGUAAAGGGCUCGCAGGCGGUUUCUUAAGUCUGAUGUGAAAGCCCCCGGCUCAACCGGGGAGGGUCAUUGGAAACUGGGGAACUUGAGUGCAGAAGAGGAGAGUGGAAUUCCACGUGUAGCGGUGAAAUGCGUAGAGAUGUGGAGGAACACCAGUGGCGAAGGCGACUCUCUGGUCUGUAACUGACGCUGAGGAGCGAAAGCGUGGGGAGCGAACAGGAUUAGAUACCCUGGUAGUCCACGCCGUAAACGAUGAGUGCUAAGUGUUAGGGGGUUUCCGCCCCUUAGUGCUGCAGCUAACGCAUUAAGCACUCC
This 815-nucleotide ribosomal RNA is filed under the name Bacillus safensis. RNAcentral describes it as "bacterial SSU rRNA". It matches the Rfam family "Bacterial small subunit ribosomal RNA", at positions 72 to 870 of the family's 1533-position model. The record is from RNAcentral. Lineage: Bacteria; Bacillati; Bacillota; Bacilli; Caryophanales; Bacillaceae.